GCGGGAAGAGGAUCGAUCGCGUCUCCACUGAUGUUGCCACAGGUGCCCCAGGGACCCUCUGGGUGGGCUCCGUGUGGCCCCGCAGUGCCCAACUGCACUGGGACCCCCCCCUCAUCCCCCCUGAUGGCUACGAGCUGGUGUACGGCCCCCCCGGGGGGCCCCAGCAGACCCUGCAGUUGCCUCCUGAGGCCACGUCGCAGCAGCUGUGGGGGCUGGAGCCGGCGGGACAUUAUGGGGUGCAGCUGUGGGGCCGGGGGGUGGACCCCCAAACCUCUCCCCUCGAGGCCACCUUUGACACCCGUGAGUGGGGGCAGGGGGGGAUGGGGA
Neopelma chrysocephalum (saffron-crested tyrant-manakin) is the source of this 327-nucleotide long non-coding RNA. RefSeq lists it as uncharacterized. The record is from RefSeq and is a predicted model, not a curated record. NCBI's taxonomy places the organism in Eukaryota, Metazoa, Chordata, Aves, Passeriformes, Pipridae. The transcript has 3 exons.